GAGUUUGAUCCUGGCUCAGGAUAAACGCUGGCGGCGCACAUAAGACAUGCAAGUCGAACGGAAGUCGUUGUAAUGAAAUAGAAACGGACAGAGAACUUGUUCGAAGAAAGUGGAAGUAGACUUACAACAAUGGCUUUAGUGGCGGACUGGUGAGUAACGCGUAAGGAACCUGCCUUCUAGAGGGGAAUAACAAUGAGAAAUCAUUGCUAAUACCGCAUAUGCCGAGAGAAUCACAUGGUACAAUCGGGAAAAGAGUAAUCUGCUAGAAGAUGGCCUUGCGUCUGAUUAGAUAGUUGGUGGGGUAACGGCCUACCAAGUCGACGAUCAGUAGCCGGACUGAGAGGUUGAACGGCCACAUUGGGGCUGAGAUACGGCCCAGACUCCUACGGGAGGCAGCAGUCGGGAAUAUUGCGCAAUGGAGGAAACUCUGACGCAGUGACGCCGCGUAUAGGAAGAAGGUUUUCGGAUUGUAAACUAUUGUCGUUAGGGAAGAGAAAGGACAGUACCUAAGGAGGAAGCUCCGGCUAACUACGUGCCAGCCGCCGCGGUAAUUC
This 554-nucleotide ribosomal RNA is filed under the name uncultured bacterium. Its description in RNAcentral is "bacterial SSU rRNA". It matches the Rfam family "Bacterial small subunit ribosomal RNA", at positions 9 to 526 of the family's 1533-position model. The record is from RNAcentral.